AAGGAAGUGGCAGAUUGGCUAUGUAUUUAACUUGAAAUUAAAAAACGGGGGUUCAAUUCCUUCCUUCCUUG
This 71-nucleotide transfer RNA is filed under the name Batrachoseps wrighti (Oregon slender salamander). Its description in RNAcentral is "tRNA-Ser". It matches the Rfam family "tRNA". From Rfam's summary of the family: Transfer RNA (tRNA) molecules are approximately 80 nucleotides in length. Their secondary structure includes four short double-helical elements and three loops (D, anti-codon, and T loops). The record is from RNAcentral. Lineage: Eukaryota; Metazoa; Chordata; Amphibia; Caudata; Plethodontidae.